GUAGGUGGCAAGCGUUGUCCGGAUUUACUGGGCGUAAAGAGCGCGCAGGCGGUCGUUCAAGUCGCGUGUGAAAGCCCCCGGCUCAACUGGGGAGGGUCACGCGAUACUGAUCGACUCGAAGGCAGGAGAGGGAAGUGGAAUUCCCGGUGUAGUGGUGAAAUGCGUAGAUAUCGGGAGGAACACCAGUGGCGAAGGCGACUUCCUGGCCUGUUCUUGACGCUGAGGCGCGAAAGCUAGGGGAGCAAACGGGAUUAGAUACCCAGGUAGUCCUAGCCGUAAACGAUGGACACUAGGUGUUGGUGGUAUCAACCCCGCCAGUGCCGAAGCUAACGCAUUAAGUGUCCCGCCUGGGGAGUACGGCCGCAAGGCUA
Molecule: ribosomal RNA, 371 nt
Filed under: uncultured bacterium
Lineage: Bacteria
Description: bacterial SSU rRNA
Rfam family: Bacterial small subunit ribosomal RNA
Source: RNAcentral